Molecule: long non-coding RNA, 748 nt
Filed under: Salarias fasciatus (jewelled blenny)
Lineage: Eukaryota; Metazoa; Chordata; Actinopteri; Blenniiformes; Blenniidae
Description: lncRNA (ENSSFAG00005001456.1)
Source: RNAcentral
AUUCAGAUGCUCGUUUGUUUAGUGGGGGAUGAAAAGAUCCAGCCGGAGCUUGGUACCGCCCGACGUUUUUUCAAGACCAUCUGGAGUUAGUGGCGGACCACGGAGCCCACCGAACCGCAACCCAGUGCCAAGAAAAACUGAAACAAGGACCAGAACUCAAAGAGCGGGCCUGGAAAGAUCCGGGGAUGGUUCCAACAGAUGGACAAUCUACGGCCACCGACUUGUAAACACCGGGACGGACCAGGACUCUGCCACGGCGCUGCUGGAGUCGCUGAUGGAGGAUAAUGUGAGGACAGUUUGGUCUCCCCACCUGAACUCCCAGACUCCCUGCCAUGACAGCAGCUCCAGCCACUGAGCAUCAACACCAGCACCAUCUUCUCCUCCUGCACAGGGACCGUCUCCUCCACCUGCUGCUCUACACCAUAGGCCAGAGAACCAGGACCCUGUUCCAGCCAGACGUCUCUGCUGUCCUGCCAGAAACCCUUUCUGAGGAUCUGGAGCAUCAGAGGCAGAACCGGAUCCAGCGAGACCAACAUCUGAACUGGUCCUCAGCGAGGCUGGAGAAUCCAGGGAGCAGGAGGGAAGAGAGUGACGCCAUGCUGCUUUCAGUCAGGCCGUUCUGGGUUCUGACAGGACCUGCUCAACACGGAGGAGGCCGGGAUCCAUGAGCUCCAUCAAUAACACAACUGCAUUUGUUUUUGUUGUGGAGUUGUAAUUGAUAUUAACUAUCAAUAAAGUUUUUGUUUAA